Molecule: ribosomal RNA, 404 nt
Filed under: Verrucomicrobiota bacterium
Lineage: Bacteria; Pseudomonadati; Verrucomicrobiota
Description: Verrucomicrobia bacterium partial 16S ribosomal RNA
Rfam family: Bacterial small subunit ribosomal RNA
Source: RNAcentral
UGGGGAAUAUUGCACAAUGGGGGAAACCCUGAUGCAGCGACGCCGCGUGAGCGAUGAAGGCUUUCGAGUCGUAAAGCUCUGUCCUAUGGGAAGAUAAUGACGGUACCAUAGAAGAAAGCCCCGGCUAAUUACGUGCCAGCAGCCGCGGUAAUACGUAAGGGGCGAGCGUUGUCCGGAAUUAUUGGGCGUAAAGAGUGCGUAGGCGGCAAAUUAAGUCAGAUGUGAAAACUAAGGGCUCAACCCAUAGAUUGCAUCUGAAACUGAUAUGCUUGAGUCAAGGAGAGGAAAGUGGAAUUACUAGUGUAGCGGUGGAAUGCGUAGAGAUUAGGAGGAACACCGGUGGCGAAAGCGGCUUUUUGGCAUGCAAAUGACACUGAGGCGCGAAAGCGUGGGGAGCAAACAGG